This 252-nucleotide ribosomal RNA is filed under the name uncultured bacterium. RNAcentral's name for it is "partial 16S ribosomal RNA". It matches the Rfam family "Bacterial small subunit ribosomal RNA", at positions 524 to 776 of the family's 1533-position model. The record is from RNAcentral.
UACGGAAGAUGCGAGCGUUAUCCGGAUUUAUUGGGUUUAAAGGGUGCGCAGGCGGCACGGCAAGCCGGCGGUCAAAUCGCGGGGCUCAACCCCGCCCAGCCGUCGGAACUGCCGGGCUAGAGUGGGCGAGAAGUGCGCGGAAUGCGUGGUGUAGCGGUGAAAUGCAUAGAUAUCACGCAGAACUCCGAUUGCGAAGGCAGCGCACCGGCGCCCUACUGACGCUCAGGCACGAAAGCGUGGGUAUCGAACAGG